Long non-coding RNA from Megachile rotundata (alfalfa leafcutting bee), 1782 nucleotides. NCBI's taxonomy places the organism in Eukaryota, Metazoa, Arthropoda, Insecta, Hymenoptera, Megachilidae. The record is from RefSeq and is a predicted model, not a curated record.
UUUUCAAUUAUUGCACAUAAAAAUUACAGAAAAAAAAGUGGAAUACUUACUCUUGGAAAAGAUGUGUGUGAAGAAAACUUGUAUGCAAGGAUAAUCCCAAGGGUAAUAAGGAUCUCUAGCUACAACACCUAUCCAUGGUAACUGUGGAUAAUCUCCAAGGAUAAUCAUCUGGCAUAUGGGGCCUCAUUCCAACAGCUGAAACAGCAAGUGGGAAGAUCGAUAACUAUGGAGCAAUGACAAUGCAAGAUAUGAGAUAUAAAAUAGAUAUUUAUAAAUAUUUAUAAAUGGAUAUAUUUAAAUGCAACCUGAUGCAUACGCUUACGUGUUAAAUUAUUGCCUUUUCCAAACUGAUAACAAUCCUAAGCAUGCAACUCAUAUAAUAAUAUUAAAGUUAGAUGUAAAAAUUUUGUCAUGGCCCUCUUCAAUUAGAUUUAGUUAAUAAAGUUAAACAAUAUAUGUAGUAAAAAAGUAAGAACAUUGCAUUAAUAAUAACGCCCAACAUCUUUCAUUACUAAAUUAUCUUAAGUAGCCAUGCUUGUAAAUUAUUAGUUCAAGCUAAAGGUAUGUUAGUAUUAUAUUACAGAAUGUCCACCAUGUAUUACUUAUAAAUUUAAUAUAUGAAGAAUUAGUUUUACAAAAUGUUAAUCGUAUUUAUCGUUUAAAAUGUAAAACAAUCUUAAAUAGUUGACCAUUACUUUAACUUUGGUAUUCUUGUAGAGUCUAUGUACCUAAGAUUGUAGAUAAUACAGUAUUUAAAUUUUUUAAAUUUGAACUUGUUUGGUACUUUCCAUUAUUAUUGGCUAGUAUUAGGAUCUGUUGUGUUCUUUGUACUAUAACUAUUUGAAUAUACAAAAUCCGACAAGUUGGUCAUACCAUAGCAGUCAACAUGUUAACUGUUUUCUAAAUAACCCGAGCUGUUCUUUUCAAUAACACAAAAUUUUCUAGUAUGGCUUGUUCAAAUUGUUACUUUAGUGUAUCGGUUCGCCAACGUUACAAACACUGCUGUUCCAUUAACCUGCUUAACUGAGCUAUUUCUUGAUCGUAAAUGAAUAUGUAAUAAAAAAUGAACGAAUGCGAAGCAAUAUAUCUUAUCGGUAAAAGAAUACAUAGAUUUUAUUUUAUAGAGUAGCGUAAUGAAAUAUUGGUUUAAUGAAAUUGUGGAAUUUAAGUAAUUGUGUUUAAGAAUUGAAAAUCUUAAAUAUCUACACUAACAGAGUGUCUAAUUACUUUUUUGACUCACUAUUGCGUUAGUAAUAUAAUUGACGCGGUGAUCCGCUGACCUGUAUGACAAAAUUUUAACAGACAUUUUUCUAAUGUAAACAUAUUAAUAAUUUGAAAUAACAGAUUUAAAGCAACUGAAAGAAUGUGAUAACAUGAACAAUAUAUAUACAUUACUAAAAAUUUUCAUCAUGUAUUAGAUGAUCUAUAGCUUGAAAAGUUUCCAUGUUACAAAAAUGCAUGCAUGAAACAGUGAAAGUUCUUUCUCCUUUCUGCAAUGUUACAAUUACUAAUGAUUUUGUUACAUUUUAUUUGCUGCAUUUAAGCAAUUACCUACUGGAAUUUGCAGUUGAUCAAUUUUAAUUUCACAGUUUCUAUUUAUUUCCAAAUAGCGUUACGAUUGUAGUAUUAAACUGUAAUUUGCACAGAAUUUUCUAGUACCGAUUAUCUACCACAUUCCUAAACCCAUCCCUAAACUCUAUCGCUUAGAAUCAAGGAAAAGGAAAGCUGGCUAGUACGCAAUAGCUCCUUUUGUUCUCGCGUAUUCGACUGAGAUUAAUGCGA